CUACGGGACGCACCAGUGAGGAAUAUUGCACAAUGGGGGAAACCCUGAUGCAGCAACGCCGCGUGGAGGAUGACGCAUUUCGGUGUGUAAACUCCUUUUAUGAGUCAAGAAAAUGACGGUAGCUCAUGAAUAAGCACCGGCUAACUCCGUGCCAGCAGCCGCGGUAAUACGGAGGGUGCAAGCGUUACUCGGAAUCACUGGGCGUAAAGGACGCGUAGGCGGGAUGUCAAGUCAGGUGUGAAAUCCUAUGGCUCAACCAUAGAACUGCACUUGAAACUGGCAACCUAGAGUAUGGGAGGGGGAGAUGGAAUUAGCGGUGUAGGGGUAAAAUCCGUAGAUAUCACUAGGAAUACCGAAAGCGAAGGCGAUCUCCUGGAACAUUACUGACGCUAAGGCGUGAAAGCGUGGGGAACAAACAGGAUUAGAUACCCCUGUAGUC
Molecule: ribosomal RNA, 439 nt
Filed under: uncultured bacterium
Lineage: Bacteria
Description: partial 16S ribosomal RNA
Rfam family: Bacterial small subunit ribosomal RNA
Source: RNAcentral